Molecule: ribosomal RNA, 198 nt
Filed under: Parasola auricoma
Lineage: Eukaryota; Fungi; Basidiomycota; Agaricomycetes; Agaricales; Psathyrellaceae
Description: partial 25S large subunit ribosomal RNA
Rfam family: Eukaryotic large subunit ribosomal RNA
Source: RNAcentral
AUAGAUCCGUAACUUCGGGAAAAGGAUUGGCUCUAAGGGUUGGGUGCGUCGGGCCUUGGUAAGAAGCCCUGGGACCUAGACGGGACUGUUUGGGGGGCAACCCCUGGAUGGACUCAUCCGGGACCUGGUGGUGGGCGACCUUGGCUGCUCUUCGGAGCGUCCGGCGUACAAUUAACAACCAACUUAGAACUGGUACGG